Molecule: long non-coding RNA, 10166 nt
Filed under: Brassica rapa (field mustard)
Lineage: Eukaryota; Viridiplantae; Streptophyta; Magnoliopsida; Brassicales; Brassicaceae
Description: long non-coding RNA (BRAP_LNC004646)
Source: RNAcentral
CUGAGACGUUUUAUUCUCCUUAUUCGUCGCUGGCACGCAACAAAAACGCCUUAUAUUCCAUCAGAAUAUCAUCAACAGUGCGUACUGAUUCACCUGAAAACCGAAUAAUAAAAAUGUUAGAUAUUUGAGACCAUGUACUACGAGUCUGCGACAUCUACGACUUUGAGCAAUGACAUUAGAACUGGAAGUAGAGGCUUUGAAGAAUUAAAGAAAGUUCUCCUUUUUUGGCUUCAUGUAAGCAUACUUCUCUCAUCAUGUCAUGCAUUUGACAAGAAUCCCAUCUCCAACUCAAACUAUCUUUUUCAGCAAUAACCAUAUUUCUCCUUAUUAACUCUUCCAAGUAUUCUUCUCCACUCUCUCGAAUGGUUGGUCCAUCGCAACUUGACGUUAUUAUUCCUUCUGCUGCCCAGAAAUAACACAAUUUAUUCACUUGUAUCUUGUAAUCUUCAGGUAAAUAAGCUAGGCAAAGGAAGCAAUGCUUUAACUCCAUUGACAAAUCUGAUACGUAGGAGGGGAUGAGGUGGCAUUCACGUGAGCAAUGCACGUGAGCACAUAACAUUUCACAUGGGAAGGAUGCUGAGCUGGCUGCUCUCCAACUUGCUGCUUACUCUUUCUAUUUAAGCUGUAGUUUGCUAGAGAGAAAGGUUAUCUAGAGUUUGAGUGAAUAAUCAGAGAGAGAUGUAGAGAGAUCUUCGAGAGAAGGAUUUGUAAUCGGUUUCUCUUGUAAAAUCACUAUUUCUCUCAAUACAAUCAGUAUUUCAUCUUUAGAUCAUUGUUUUCACAUCUACUCGUAACAAAAUCUUCAUAGCUCAGGGACAAAACUCGGCAAACUGAAUCUUUUUUGUUGUCAUCUAACUGAAUGAUCUGAGUUUGAAUAUUUUUUAUAUACUCGUUCCCACUCGUCAACCAUUUUUUUAGCUAACAAGCCUCCCAGCACUUUAACAGCUAACAGUAGUCCUCCACAAUAUGUAACCAUUUUCUUACCCAUAUCUUCUAGCUCUUUAUCAACACCAAAUUCUGCGAAACAAUAGCAUAUAUUAUAAGACAAUGGCCAUGAACAAUAUGUCUACCCUAGAAGAUAAAUUAGUGAAUUACUCCACAAGAUUUUUGAUUAUAGGAGGUAAGAGAUAUCACAUUCAGUGUCUUAAUUAACAAACGUACCAGUUUUGUCUCUUCUAGAUAAUGCUAUCCCCUCACAUAGCUUCCAAGUUCCAACUUUCCUCGGGAUUAAGGAUUUUUGGUGUAAAGGCAAAACAUGUUGGGUCUGCAUGUAAACCAACACCUUCAUCGCGAGAAGUAAGAAUCACUUUCCAACCUGCAAAUUAAAUUUUCUUUUAUGUCAGUUAGGGAUUAAAAGGCAUUUAUGAAACUGCUAACGGAAGCACUUAAGUAAUGUAUGAAAAAGUAAAGAGCUCGCCUCUUUCUUGGGGGAAAACGUCUUUUAUUAGAUCCCAGUCUUCAUUUUUCCAUACAUCAUCGAUGACAAUUAAAUGUCUAGAUUUUCCCAGCAAUAGAAAGAGCUCUGCCUGGAGUUUAUUCUCAUCCAUCUGUUUGAUGUUCUCAUCAUGUGGUCUAAGAUCUUGCAAGAUCUUUUGCCAGAUAUCCUUCCGCUGAAACUCUUUUGAAACACAUACCCAUGCGAAUCGAUUAAAACGAUGUCGAACAAUGUCAUGAUGAAAAACUUGUCUCGCCAGAGUGGUUUUACCAAUACCACCCAUCCCUGAUAUGGAAACCACUUGAAUGUUAUCUUUCUUCACCAAAUGACCAACCAAGUCUUCAACACUUUCUUCCACCCCCACAAGGCCCUUUUCAGAACUCUUCGGAAAUGUUUGUCGGAUCUCCCUCUGCACCCUUUGUCUCUCUUUUAGAGACAGUGAACGGCCAUCGCUCAUGAUUUCUUUUAUUCCAAAGCUCUGCAUGUCCGCAACAACCUCAGACAUUCUCUUAGUUAUGCCUUCAAUGUCUAUAGAAAUAUCUCGUCGGUUCCCUAAGAAACAAGAAAGUUUUCUCACACGCCUCUUGAUCCCUUUUUCUUUACCACUAGAUUCUUUCAAAACAAAGGAUUCAAUUAUAUCUUCAGCAUCAUAAACAAUGUUUUUGACAUCUUCCAAUAAGUUUCUCACAACUUCAUUCUCAUGUUUCUUGGCAUCUGCAUCUUUCAACAAUGACUGUAACUUUCGCAGGUGACGUUCUAGAUCAGUAACAUGCUCAUGCACUCCCUGUAAUCGCUCAGAUUCUCGACUCAGGAGGUCCCAGAGUUUCUCCAUUCCAAAGGACACAACUCCCUCAGCCAGCACUGACACAACUACCUCAGCCAUCACUGAUCUCCUGUCAGAGGAACUUUUUUUCUUAACUUAUUUUUAAUGAAAUAAUUUUAUUUUAUUUUUAAAUCUGAUUCGACCAUAACAGAGGGAAAAAAGACAGAUCGAAGCAAGUUAAGUCGAAAAAUAUGAUGUAGAAAACAUGAUUUACCUUUUACGAAACAGAUCUGCAACUCUGUUCUAUCUGAUUUACCUUUCAGCGACGUUCUUUGGAAGAAGAGAUAUGAGUUGCAAUGAAAGAGAAAGUCAACUUUUGCAGUCGCUUCUAUCUGUAAUAAUGCAUUUGCUUUAGACAACUGAGAAUAAUUUUAUUCAAAGACCACGAAGGCCACCAACCACAACUACAACAGUGUCUUUCACCAUCAUUCCAUCAAUAGCUCAAAACACAGAGUAAAAACCAGGGGAGUUACAAAAAUAGAGUGACAGUCCCCGAAUUAAAUCCUAACCUUCCUUCCUAGACAUAUGUUAGAGAAAACGGCUUUCAUUAACAAGGAACUAAAACAACCAAGGGGGAUGACCAGUGGCCACAUAGGAUUGGAUCCGCCCUUGCCUAGUAACACUUUGAGCAAUGAAAGAUGUUCCUCUAUUUGCCUCUUCCCCCCCCCCCCCCCCCCACAACCUGCAAUCCAAACUCAUUCAUCUCCAAUAACUCUCUUAAGAUCUCAUAGGCUUGAUAAGAAAAAGAUGGCCAGGCUUCCGGGCGGAGUACUGCUCCCAAACAGGUCAGAGAAUUCACCAGCAAAGAAUAAACCGGAAUGUCUACCAAUACUGACUACUAUUUCUAGUAAUAAUAUAAGUACAUAUGAUAAAAAUGUGGAGAGUACCUGGAGCUAUGUAACCAUAGGAACUAGCAAUGGUUUUGAAAGAACGAGCAAAGUCUCCACCGUCAACAAGCUUAGCAAGACCGAAAUCUCAAAUAUAGGGCCCAAAAUCAGGGCCAAUGAGAAUAUUAUUAGCCAUGAUGGGAGGAACACAGUCAUGAUGCAAGUAAGCCAAACCCUGAGCUGCACCAAGUAUAAUCCUGUGCCUAACCUCCCAUCCUAAGAUACAUUCAUCACUCCUAUCAUGAAGCAAGCUUCCCAAACUCCCAUUCGACAUAUAAUCAUACAUAAGAAGUCUCGUGUUCUUGUUCCAACAACAUCCCAAGAACCUUCUAGAAAUUAAGCUUCGAUAAUAUGAAUAUAAGAACACACACAAUAAGAACUCUUCUUAUUAAUCCCUUGAGGAAACUAACUCAAAACCUCAAGCUCACAAACUCAUAAACUCACACAUUGGAUCAUCUCAUGAUCUCUCUAUUUAUAUAUCUAUGUUUGUCCUAAUCCUAUUAGUAAUUACAUAUGUUUAGAUAACUCUAAACUAAAGAUAACCCUUAUCUUUAUUCUCCCACUUCUUUUAGGAUUAGGAUUGCUUCCUUCUCAAGCUAUCUUCAAGCUUACUUCAACAUUGUCCCUCCUAAGCUUGAAGCUUUCAGUCUAUAAGUCUUUCAUUCCGAUAAACUCUCUCAUCUCCUUGAACUUGAUUCUUCCCAAUGCUUUUGUCAAGAUAUCUGCCUUCUGCUUCUCUCCGGGAACGUGCUCGACUGCUAUCUGUCCGUUCUCAACGCACUCUCUUAUAAAAUGAUAUCUCUUAUGUAUAUGUUUGCUUCUUCCAUGGAACACCGGGUUUCUUGUUAACGCAAUUGCAGACUGGUUAUCAAUUAAAAUGGUGACUCUCUUGCUUGGUUGAUCCAUGAUCUCACUCAAUAAGUCUUGUAACCAAAUGGCCUGUCUCGCGGCCUCUGUUCCUGCCAUGAACUCGGCUUCGCAGGAUGAUAGAGCCACCGUGUCUUGCUUUUGUGAGCUCCACGUGAUUGGACUAUCUCCUAGAUAGAAUAUAUGGCCUGUCGUGCUUUUCCCAUCGUCUGGAUCAGACUCAUAGCUACUGUCGCUGUACCCUAUAAGCUUUGGAACCUUGAGAGAACUCCUCUCGAAUGUUAGGCCAUACGAGAUGCUUCCCCGUAGAUAUCUUAGCACCUGUUUCAUUGCGGCACCAUGUGAUUCUCUUGGACUCUGCAUGAAUCUUGAAAGAACUCCAACACUAUACGAUAAGUCAGGUCGUGUGUGAAGAAGAUAACGUAGGCAUCCUAUGUUUCUUCUGAACCUUGUCGCGUCAAUCUCUUUCUCGUUUUCAGCUUUUGACAACUUUAGACCAAGUUCCAUCGGAGUUUGGACAGAAUUGCAUUUGUCCAUUCCAUCUUCUUCUAAAAUCUUCGAUGCGUAGCUUCUUUGCACCAAUGAAAUCCCAUUCUCGUAUUGGCACACUUCUAUGCCAAGAUAAUAAGUAAGCUUGCCUAAAUCACUCAUGUCAAACUUGCUUGACAUAUUAUCUUUGAACUCCUUGAUCAUCUUUUGGUUAGUACCAGUCACAAACAGAUCAUCUACAUAAACUGCAACGAUUAAUAGCUCUCCUUCUUCUAUCUUGCGAUAUACCGAAGGCUCCUUAGAGCAUUUUUUAAACUUAAGUUCACAGAGUAUCUGGUUUAGUUUAUUGUUCCACGCCCGUGGAGCUUGCCUUAAUCCAUAUAGUGCUUUGUUCAGUUUAUACACUUUUCCUUCUUCUCCUUUUCUUUCAUAACCCUCAGGUUGCAUAACAUAAACAGUUUCCUUUAGUUCUCCAUGUAGGAAUGCUGUUUUAACAUCCAAGUGAUGCACCUCCCAUCCAUUCGUAGCUGCUAGAUUAACGAGAAGUCUUAUUGUUUCAAGACGUGCUACUGGUGCGAAUACCUCAUCAAAAUCAAUUCCGUGACGCUGCACAUAUCCUUUAGCCACUAGCCUUGAUUUGUACUUGUUAAUGCUUCCAUCUGCGUUGCGUUUGAUCUUGAACACCCACUUAAGACCAAUGGCUUUGGCACCGCACGGCAACUCAACUAAACUCCAUGUAUCAUUCUUUUCGAUGGAUAUGAUCUCUUCCUCACAUGCUCGUCUCCACUCCUUUGAUUCUUUAGCUUCAUUCCAAUUUCGUGGCUCAUGAUUCAGGUACAUCAAUAUCUCUUCACCAAGUUCUUCGGCAAGGAGAAUAUAAUCGUCAAGGUAUUUUGGUUUGUUGUGUUGCCUUUCCGAUCUUCUUAACACUUGUGUUUCUUCCUCUACUACUUCUUCUUGGUCAUCAGUGAUUACUAUACUCUCAGGUGCUGUUUCUUCUUCUUCGUUCGUAGCUUGUUUUAGACGUAACCGUUCCUCUCUCUCAAUGUGGUUAUCAACUCCGUGAUUACCAAACUCUCCUAUAGAUAUAGUGAAGUCUUCAAUGCUCUGGUUUUCCGUGGUGACCUCACUCCAAUUCCAUCCUCUUGACUCAUCAAAUACUACAUCUCUACUUACCACUAUCUUCUGAGUUUGUGGAUCUAGUAGGCGGUAAGCCUUUGAUCCUGGCUCUGUGCCUAAGUUUACUAACAUUCUUGCUCGAUCAUCUAAUUUCUUCAAGAGCUUUUUAUCUGCUUUUGCAUAAGCUAUGCAUCCGAACACGCGUAGAUGGCUAAUAUUUGGCUUCUUGUUACGGAACCCUUCAUACGGUGUCUUCUCUUUCAAGGCACGGGUGGCCACACGGUUUAGCAAAUAUGUUGAAUGUCGUAUAGCUUCUCCCCAAAGGUAGUUUGGCAUAUGCAUAUGUUUGAGAAUGCUUCUCGCCAUCUCUAACAAUGUUCUGUUUCUGCGUUCCACAACUCCGUUCUGUUGCGGUGUGUAUGGAGCCGUGAGGUGUCGUUUGAUGCCAAACCUUUCACAGAAGUCGUUGAACUCUCUGGAUACGAACUCUCCUCCUCUAUCCGUUCUGAAAACUCCUAUCUUCUUUCCUGUUUCUCUUUCUAUCACCUCCUUGAGCCUUUUAAAUUUGUUAAAUGCUUCACUCUUCUCUUUUAUCAACAUUGUCCACAUAUAUCUUGUGUUAUCAUCAAUAACCACAAAUAUAUAUCUAUUUCCCUUUGGAGUUCUCGGUGUUAUAGGCCCGCAUAGAUCGCCAUGAAGUAGCUCUAGUUUCUUUUCAGCUCGGUAUGUGGUUGAUUUAGGGAAGGGUUGCCUUGCUUGCUUGCCAAGUAAGCAUGAGCCGCACACUUCUUUUUCACCAUUUAUACUAGGAAGCCCGAGUACUAACUCCUUUUGUUUCAUCCCUUUUAAAGACUCAAAGUUUAUGUGCCCUAACCGAGCAUGCCAUCGCUUUGUUUCACUUGUCGUGGAUAGGUACAAGCGCGCAUUGCUUCUGAUUCCCAUAUGAACCUUGUACAGUCUAUUCUUUGAUCUUUUUGCUUUCACAAGCAAUUUCCCAUGUUGAUCAUGCAUCGUCAACUCUUCUCCUCUUAAUCUUAUGUCACAACCCGCUUCUGUGGCUUGACCCAAGCUUAUGAUAUUACUUUUCAAAUCAGGGAUGUAAUAAACAUCUAUCAUCUUCCUAUCUUCUCCAUUGCAAUCUGUAAAAGAAAUCGUUCCCUUGCCUUUUAUGUCUAUCCUUGAAUCGUCUCCAAAUCUAACCUUUCCCGUGAUGGUGUUGUCUAUUGCCGAAAAAUAUCUUCUAUCCCCAGUCAUAUGGUUGCUUGCUCCAUUAUCUAGAUACCAUAUGUUUUCUCCUUCACAACUUGUUUCGUAUUUUUCAGGUAAGACAUUCUUCUCGUUUAGGAACACUACCUCAUGCAUCAUGAGUUCAUCAGCUUCUUGGGUCUCUGUAUUGUCAGUUUCAUGAGCCUCUUGUAGUUUAAGAAGAAGCUCCGGACAUUGUGCGACAAAGUGGCCAACCUUGUCACAUCUAUAACAGGUUAUUUUGGAUGCGUCUCUCUCAUAUCCUCUUCCUCCAUUGUAGCUUUCAUUAUAUCCUCGUCCUCCAUUAUAUCGGCCACGUCCCCUUCCCCUGUUAUUGUAAGGACGUCUGCCGCCUCCUCUACCUCUUCCUCUAUAUGAAUCUCCUUGGUAGUAAUUUGAAUUGUCCGAUGAUCGAUUUGAUUGGUUGGUUUGGCCGCUUUGUCCUUCAUUAUUUGCAUACAUCAGUUUAGUUUGAUCUUCUUCUUCAUCUAAAACUCUUUCUUCGUAUGCCUUUAAACGUUCCAUGAUGUCUUCAAAGUUUGUUUUGUUAAGAUCCAACACCUGUUCGAGAGAAGCUACAAUGUGUAUAUAUUUCUUUCGAGGUAAACUUGAGAGAAAUUUUUUCACCAGCUUGGCUUCCUCGAUGAUAACUCCCAAUGCGGACGAUUUAGAGGCGAGUUCUGAUAAUUUUCCACCGAAAUCGUCUAUACUCUCGGUCUCUUUCAUCUUUAAUCUAUCAAACUCGUUCAUCAACGUUUGUAGUCUUGCUUCUUUUACUCGUUCUGCUCCCACAUAUCUUGCUUUAAUGGCUUCCCAAACUUGUUUAGCUUUAUCAAGUUCUCCUACUUGCAAGAUUAGCGACUCUGGUAUGGAUUGAAACAACAAUGCUAGUGCUAGGUCGUUUUUCUUAGCGCUCGCAGUCUCUGUCUCUAUUGCUUCCCAGACCUCAUGUACCUUCAAUGUGAUUCUCAUCCUCAUAACCCAUACUGUAUAAUUUGUCUGGUUAAGCAUAGGACACUUAAUCGAAGAGGACCCUCCUCCUUCUUUCACCUUGCCGGUUGCUUCCACAAUAUCUCCCAUGAUCUCUGUUUUGGCUCUGAUACCAAAUCUAGAAAUUAAGCUUCGAUAAUAUGAAUAUAAGAACACACACAAUAAGAACUCUUCUUAUUAAUCCCUUGAGGAAACUAACUCAAAACCUCAAGCUCACAAACUCAUAAACUCACACAUUGGAUCAUCUCAUGAUCUCUCUAUUUAUAUAUCUAUGUUUGUCCUAAUCCUAUUAGUAAUUACAUAUGUUUAGAUAACUCUAAACUAAAGAUAACCCUUAUCUUUAUUCUCCCACUUCUUUUAGGAUUAGGAUUGCUUCCUUCUCAAGCUAUCUUCAAGCUUACUUCAACAAACCUAACAAUGUUCUUGUGUCUGAUCGAACCAAGUGUCUUGACUUCAGCUGAGAAUGAGUCUCGACCUCCUGAUGUCUUAGCAACCGUUACUGUCACUGGCCAGAGCUUUUUCACUGCGAUGAUUUCUUGGUUAGGCAUUUCUGCUCUGUACACUACUCCAGAGCAACUUUUCCCUAUAACAUUACUUUCAACCAAACACUUUGAGUACAUGUUCAACCGUGAAGUUGAGUUUCUGAAAAGGUGUGAACUGCCAUGUCCACAGGUUUUCUCCCUUCUCUGAAUCGUUAUCAUCCUGAGUCAUCUGCCUUGCCCUUAAAACCGCUAACACGCCUAAUACCGCUAGAAUAAUUAUCAAACUUAUUAGCAAUCCAAUGGCUAUCUUGAGUCCCUGAGAGUGCACAAAAUCUUCACCGGGCUGUGUGUGUAACCGUGUACCACUACUAACAAAACAAGACCUGAAGCCUUUGGAACAGAGUCCAUUAUUCCCUUCCAUCUUUUCUUGUGUCAUCUGUCUGAACACUUAACUGUCUGAAGAAAACCUGAGAAUCUAUCGUGAGAGAUAUUCAAAGAAACCAAGUUUUUAAGACCGGACAGGGAAAAGAGGUGGCCUGAAAGCAUGUUGUACGAUAUAUCCAGCACAGAUAAUCGGUUAAGAGCUGAGAUCCUCGCCGGGAUGAAGCCAUCUAAUGAGUUCCGGCUCAAGUUUAAGGCAAUGUCUAGAUUUUCAAUGUCAAAGAGUUCUUCAGGUAUGGCUCCAAGAGAUGUUGUUACUGCUGAGAUCAAGAAGCUGAAGAUUCGUGCAUGACAAAGAGAUGUUGUUACUGCUGAGAUCAAGAAUGUGGUUUUGCAUAAUAGUUUGUGUCAAUACAGUCAGGAUUGUAAGAUGGUUUGUAUUUGAGACCUGAGCCGAGCGUUUAAGAUUUUUCCUCGUUUCAAGAGUAAAACUCCGUGUAUUACUACACUAAUGCCUAUCAAUUAGCCAAAAGAUAAAUAAUUUUUUGUGACUGAUGUUUAUACUAUCAAGUUAAUUGUAUAUUUUAGGUUAACUAGAUGUUUGGUGUCAAAGCUGUUGACUCCUCCAUCUCUUGAUCUUCGUUAAACCAAAUGAUAAAAUCAUGUUCAAUGAUCACUAUCAAAGCAUUGUCAUACAAAAAAGGGAGACAUUGAAGAAAAUAUGGUUCGACAUACAGAAUGUAUUUCAAACUUAGCAUUACAGCGAGUGAGCAUGGAAUAGAUAAACGGAAUAUCGCAGACAAGUAGUAAACAAAAACGACUUAUAUAUCCCAUCACACAAUGAAUAGUGGGUACUGAUUCUGAGUAGGUUCCCCUGAAAACCAAAUAAUAAAAAAGGUUAGAUAGUUGAGACUUUCACACUAAACUUCAGAGGAUACAUAACCAACAAAACGAACAAUAUGGAACAUUAUACCAAAAAUAUAAACCUGAGACGUUUUAUUCUCCUUAGUAGUAGCUAAGAUUGUUGAAUUGAACACUAGGAAUGUGUUGGACUUUGUAGUAACUUUCCCCACCUGAUUCCAAUUUCUCAUUCCACUCCUUGUUCAUACCUGAAAUUUCCAGUUCCUUUAAAGAGAUUAUAUACUUCAGCCCUUCCGGUAUCUCCUUCAACUUGCCACAAAAUCCUAUAGACAAAGUACGAAGACAUGACAUCGACCCUUCUUCGAUUUCCCACUCUUCCAACUCUUUUAGAACCACUAAAUCUAGCUUAUGUAAUUGAGGGAAUCCACCUUUUGAACACACCAUUUUCCUCCCUGCGAAAGCAUCAAAGCAUAAUAUAACAGACUUUAAAUGAAGCAACUUUUCCAGAAUCGGGAGUGGGUCCUCCUCCAUUCUGCAUUGACCUAGAGAUAUGCUUGCAAGGUUUGGAGGGAAUCGAGAGUGCUCAG